ACACCCUUGUUACACGAUUUUUACUCUUUUUGCGCGAGUUAAGGGUGUUAAAAUGGUGUUAAAAGACGUCAAUGAUGGUUUUGAGAGAAAGGCUAUACUACCAUCACUAGUGUUUUAGAAGGCACGAAGGAAGCACACACUGACGAGAUAUAGUGUUUAUGGCAGGCCAAAGUCAGAUGUGUGCAAUUAGCUUCGUUUCGUUAUUUUUCUUUUUUCCAAGAGGUAAACAGGCGUCAGUCCCCUGGCGGAAAACCCCGCCAGGGGACCGACGCACGUUGGAGUCGGUGGGCGGCAAGCCAAGCCAAGUCAAGGCCGUCGGCGCGGCGUGCGUUUUGGUUCGUCUGGUAUGGUGAGGCCGCGUCCGUUACAGUGAGAUAGAGCUUGUUUUUCAGCAAAGAUGACAGACGUAGCGUGCCUAGUUGUGGUGCUUCAUGCGGACAUUAGACAAAAGUGCCUGCUUGAAGAGGACACUCCACCUGCUUUGAGGAGUGCUAUCUCGGCUUCGAGAAUUUUGGCGUCAUACGUGAACGCCACUGACAGGAUUCAGGUUCGGGAUAGCGACUUCAGUGGGUGUUGAAUUUGCGGAGGGCGAUGAGAUAAUGCAUACGGCGACAGUACCCGUCUUGCAACCUCACCGCCAGGAACGCUCGAAGGAUUCAACCUCCUUGCUGUCCACGCCCUGCGAAUACUGGGUUCGUGCGUGAAGGGUUCCGAAGCAAUAAAGAACAUGUUUGUGCAUUAUGAUACACCUGUGCCGGUGACACCGUGCAUCAUGUUCACUGGGAGCAGCAUUGAAGAAGCGGAGCAUAUGGACCUCUAUGUCGGCGAGUAGCGCCUUCUCAGAACCAUCAACCUUGAAGAGGGAUUGGCUGCCAUUCUUGCAGCUAUUGGUUAAUUCAUAUUGUCUACAGUGCAAAGCCGCACCGUACAUUUUGAAGCCUGGAAGAGCGGUGCCUGAAAGUGAGUGACUCUCGUGUAAGAAGCCCCGUGGAUCAAUUUUUUCAACAGUUACGGAAAAGAGCUUGUGGAUGCUUCGAACAUCUAAAACAUUUGCUACUUUA
Ornithodoros turicata is the source of this 1061-nucleotide long non-coding RNA. RefSeq lists it as uncharacterized. The transcript is spliced from 4 exons. The record is from RefSeq and is a predicted model, not a curated record. NCBI's taxonomy places the organism in Eukaryota, Metazoa, Arthropoda, Arachnida, Ixodida, Argasidae.